GGCAAGUUUACCGAGUGGCUAGGUGUGUGGCUGCAGACCAUAAUACGGGGGUUCAAGUCCCUCACUUGCCU
This 71-nucleotide transfer RNA is filed under the name Methanobrevibacter sp. RNAcentral's name for it is "tRNA-Cys". It matches the Rfam family "tRNA". From Rfam's summary of the family: Transfer RNA (tRNA) molecules are approximately 80 nucleotides in length. Their secondary structure includes four short double-helical elements and three loops (D, anti-codon, and T loops). Further hydrogen bonds mediate the characteristic L-shaped molecular structure. tRNAs have two regions of fundamental functional importance: the anti-codon, which is responsible for specific mRNA codon recognition, and the 3' end, to which the tRNAs corresponding amino acid is attached (by aminoacyl-tRNA synthetases). tRNAs cope with the degeneracy of the genetic code in two manners: having more than one tRNA (with a specific anti-codon) for a particular amino acid; and 'wobble' base-pairing, i.e. permitting non-standard base-pairing at the 3rd anti-codon position. Lineage: Archaea; Methanobacteriati; Methanobacteriota; Methanobacteria; Methanobacteriales; Methanobacteriaceae. RNAcentral also lists the same sequence under 2 other names. The record is from RNAcentral.